This 212-nucleotide unclassified non-coding RNA is filed under the name Bombus terrestris (buff-tailed bumblebee). RNAcentral's name for it is "misc RNA ENSBTSG00005027756.1". Lineage: Eukaryota; Metazoa; Arthropoda; Insecta; Hymenoptera; Apidae. The record is from RNAcentral.
GUGUACGAAGAAAAGGACACGGCCUUCGGAACCAGCAACGUAUAACGUUAGGUUAAAAGCGAAUUUUUCCGACGGUGACCCGCAAGAAGACACGUCCAGCCGAAUCUUUCUAACGGACUGGUCGCUUUAUACGAUACUUUAGGCUACACCGGCUACAUCGCCUAGAACGAUUAGCAGGAACGGUACUUGAAUUUUAUCCCAGCUGAAAAAAA